ACCGUUGGAGCCUCCUUGUGGGGUGACAGCGUGCCUUUUGAAGAAUGAGCCUGCGAGUUAGUGAUACGUGGCGAGGUUAACCCGUGUGGGGAAGCCGUAGCGAAAGCGAGUCUGAAUAGGGCGAUUGAGUCGCGUGUCCUAGACCCGAAGCGGAGUGAUCUACCCAUGGCCAGGUUGAAGCGCGUGUAAGAACGCGUGGAGGACCGAACCCACUUCAGUUGAAAAUGGAGGGGAUGAGUUGUGGGUAGGGGUGAAAGGCCAAUCAAACUCCGUGAUAGCUGGUUCUCCCCAAAAUGUGUUGAGGCACAGCGGUCGAGAUGAAGUUUAGGGGUAAAGCACUGUUUCGGUGCGGGCUGCGAGAGCGGUACCAAAUCGAGGCAAACUCUGAAUACUAAACUGGUACUCGGCCAGUCAGACGGUGGGGGAUAAGCUUCAUCGUCAAGAGGGAAACAGCCCAGACCACCAGGUCGACGCGGCC
RNAcentral lists this ribosomal RNA (478 nucleotides) under uncultured Micrococcus sp. RNAcentral's name for it is "bacterial LSU rRNA". It matches the Rfam family "Bacterial large subunit ribosomal RNA", at positions 570 to 1049 of the family's 2925-position model. Lineage: Bacteria; Bacillati; Actinomycetota; Actinomycetes; Micrococcales; Micrococcaceae. The record is from RNAcentral.